AGAGUUUGAUCCUGGCUCAGGAUCAACGCUGGCGGCGUGCCUAAUACAUGCAAGUCGAGCGAAGCACUUAACUUUGAUUCUUCGGAUGAAGAGUUUUGUGACUGAGCGGCGGACGGGUGAGUAACACGUAGGUAACCUGCCUCACACAGGGGGAUAACAGUUAGAAAUGACUGCUAAUACCGCAUAAGCGCACAGGACCGCAUGGUCUGGUGUGAAAAGCUCCGGCGGUGUGAGAUGGACCUGCGUCUGAUUAGCCAGUUGGCGGGGUAAAGGCCCACCAAAGCGACGAUCAGUAGCCGGCCUGAGAGGGUGGACGGCCACAUUGGGACUGAGACACGGCCCAGACUCCUACGGGAGGCAGCAGUAGGGAAUAUUGCACAAUGGGGGAAACCCUGAUGCAGCGACGCCGCGUGAGCGAAGAAGUAUCUCGGUAUGUAAAGCUCUAUCAGCAGGGAAGAAGAUGACGGUACCUGACUAAGAAGCACCGGCUAAAUACGUGCCAGCAGCCGCGGU
RNAcentral lists this ribosomal RNA (513 nucleotides) under uncultured chicken cecal bacterium. Its description in RNAcentral is "bacterial SSU rRNA". It matches the Rfam family "Bacterial small subunit ribosomal RNA", at positions 8 to 521 of the family's 1533-position model. The record is from RNAcentral.